CCUACGGGAGGCAGCAGUGGGGAAUAUUGCGCAAUGGGGGCAACCCUGACGCAGCCAUGCCGCGUGAAUGAAGAAGGCCUUCGGGUUGUAAAGUUCUUCCGGUGACGAGGAAGGCGCGAUGUUUAAUAGGCAUCACGACUGACGUUAAUCACAGAAGAAGCACCGGCUAACUCCGUGCCAGCAGCCGCGGUAAUACGGAGGGUGCGAGCGUUAAUCGGAAUAACUGGGCGUAAAGGGCACGCAGGCGGCUAUUUAAGUGAGGUGUGAAAGCCCCGGGCGUAACCUGGGAAUUGCAUUUCAGACUGGGUAGCUAGAGUACCUUAGGGAGGGGUAGAAUUCCAUGUGUAGCGGUGAAAUGCGUAGAGAUGUGGAGGAAUACCGAAGGCGAAGGCAGCCCCUUGGGAAUGUACUGACGCUCAUGUGCGAAAGCGUGGGGAGCAAACAGGAUUAGAUACCCGAGUAGUC
Molecule: ribosomal RNA, 465 nt
Filed under: uncultured Aggregatibacter sp.
Lineage: Bacteria; Pseudomonadati; Pseudomonadota; Gammaproteobacteria; Pasteurellales; Pasteurellaceae
Description: bacterial SSU rRNA
Rfam family: Bacterial small subunit ribosomal RNA
Source: RNAcentral